Molecule: ribosomal RNA, 345 nt
Filed under: uncultured bacterium
Lineage: Bacteria
Description: bacterial SSU rRNA
Rfam family: Bacterial small subunit ribosomal RNA
Source: RNAcentral
AGGGUUUGAUUAUGGCUCAGGAUGAACGCUGGCGGCGUGCCUAACACAUGCAAGUCGAACGGAACUUCUUUGACAGAAUUCUUCGGAAGGAAGUUGAUUAAGUUUAGUGGCGGACGGGUGAGUAACGCGUGAGUAACCUGCCUUUGAGAGGGGAAUAACUUCCCGAAAGGGAUGCUAAUACCGCAUAAUGCAUAUUUAUCGCAUGGUAGAUAUGCCAAAGAUUUAUCGCUCAAAGAUGGACUCGCGUCCGAUUAGCCAGUUGGCGGGGUAACGGCCCACCAAAGCGACGAUCGGUAGCCGGACUGAGAGGUUGAACGGCCACAUUGGGACUGAGACACGGCCCAG